GUAUUAGUAUAUUGCUUAAAUAUUUUGCUGUGUGCAUAUGCUGAUGGAUCACAGCUGUAGCCUUUAGAAGAGGAGUUUGCUUUUGGGCCUUGCAUUAGAUUAUCCCCAUUUAUUCUAUAGUGUUCAUUAAUUUCAAUAAUAUCAAAAAACAAGAUGCAGCCCUAUAGUGCAAAAGAAGUUGUAAAAUUAACUGUAAUGAGGAGAUAUACUCAGAGCUGUUAGUUGGACAAGAAAAAAUAAUGAAAUCCAUCUAAAUAGAUGUUUAAUCUGUUUUCUAAAUGGAUAUAUAUUACUUGAUUUAAGACUUCAUUUUAUUAAUUUUUCAGCUUAAACUUUUAAUUAACAUACUCUAGGUUGGGAGAGCAUCUAAUGGUAUUAAGGCCCCAGUCUUACAAUUUGAUCUGCUGUGGCAGACCUUUAUGACUCUGCAAAAUUUCACAAGUCUCUGGGCUUUGCACAGGUGCAGGUCUCCACCCCUUUGGUUUCAACUGCAAGAUUAGGAUCUGACUUCCAAAGAUUUCUUUUUAAAGAUCAUGAAGGAAUGACCUAAAUUAAAUACUCACUCAAAGUUUUGCAUUCACUUUUUCCAUAUGUUUUAUAUGUGAGCACUGCUGUCCUAAUGUCAAACCCAACCUCAGCAAGAUAAACUCAGUGUAUUGUAAUUUAAAAUGGGUGAGAUAAUGGCUUGCCCUGAAUACUAGCGCAAAGAAGCAGUAGCAUAAGACACCUCAUUCCCCUUGUGCCUGUGCACUUUACCACCAUUUCCUGCAACUGCACCAUCUUGAAACCAUUCUGCACCCUCUCCCCACCACAAUGUGCCCAGUGAUAUAGUUAUGCCAAUAUGUUGGGGUGAGUACGCUGUAACAGAUAUAGACACAGUGUAGUGUAGUUCCUCUUUGUAGGAGCAGGGAGACAGUGGCUCCCUGAGAAAAUAGGGUAGUUACUCCUGCUUCUUAUUCCACAUAUGAAGUCUUAAAACAUUGCUUGUGACAUCAGAUUUUCUUUACAGCUGCUAAUUGUCAUGUCCCAAAUAGGAAAUGAGCAGUGGGGACAGAUAAUAUUUAUAUAGAUGCUGUCAUUCAAGGAUCCUAAAGUGAAUUACAAAAGUGGAUAAUCUCAUUUUUUACAGAUGAGGAAACUGAAGGACAAAGAUUUAAGUGGCAGGGUCAGAAACAGAACCUACUCCCCAGAGUCCAAGUAUCCUGUUCUAACCACUAGACAACAGUGCUAUACACUAACUCUGAAUGAUCAUGUUUUAAUGUAAUAAUAAAAAUGGG
Dermochelys coriacea (leatherback sea turtle) is the source of this 1277-nucleotide long non-coding RNA. RefSeq lists it as uncharacterized. The transcript is spliced from 2 exons. The record is from RefSeq and is a predicted model, not a curated record. Lineage: Eukaryota; Metazoa; Chordata; Testudines; Dermochelyidae.